UACGGAGGGGGCUAGCGUUGUUCGGAAUUACUGGGCGUAAAGCGCACGUAGGCGGCUUUGUGAGUUAGAGGUGAAAGCCCGGAGCUCAACUCCGGAAUUGCCUUUAAGACUGCAUCGCUAGAAUUGUGGAGAGGUAAGUGGAAUUCCGAGUGUAGAGGUGAAAUUCGUAGAUAUUCGGAAGAACACCAGUGGCGAAGGCGGCUCACUGGACCGGCAUUGACGCUGAUGUGCGAAAGCGUGGGGAGCAAACAGG
Molecule: ribosomal RNA, 253 nt
Filed under: uncultured bacterium
Lineage: Bacteria
Description: partial 16S ribosomal RNA
Rfam family: Bacterial small subunit ribosomal RNA
Source: RNAcentral